AGUGGUCUAGUGGUAUGACGUUUCCUUAGCACUGAGCCUAGAUAGGUAAAGUGGAAAAGGUUCAGGGUUCGAUUCCCUGCU
This 81-nucleotide transfer RNA is filed under the name Fonsecaea pedrosoi CBS 271.37. It matches the Rfam family "tRNA", at positions 6 to 65 of the family's 71-position model. Rfam says of the family: Transfer RNA (tRNA) molecules are approximately 80 nucleotides in length. Their secondary structure includes four short double-helical elements and three loops (D, anti-codon, and T loops). The record is from Rfam by way of RNAcentral. Lineage: Eukaryota; Fungi; Ascomycota; Eurotiomycetes; Chaetothyriales; Herpotrichiellaceae.